Molecule: ribosomal RNA, 324 nt
Filed under: uncultured eukaryote
Lineage: Eukaryota
Description: partial 18S ribosomal RNA
Rfam family: Eukaryotic small subunit ribosomal RNA
Source: RNAcentral
CCCUUAGAAGUUCUGGGCUGCACGCGCGCGACACUGAUGCGCUCAAGGAGUUUACGACCUUGCCUGGAAAGGUUGGGUAAUCUUCUUAAAAAACAUCGUGAUGGAGCUAGAUUAUUGCAACUAUUAAUCUUCAACGAGGAAUUCCUAGUAAGCGCGAGUCAUCAGCUCGUGCUGAUUACGUCCCUGCCCUUUGUACACACCGCCCGUCGCUCCUACCGAUUGAAUGUUCCGGUGAGCUCUUCGGACUGCGCGGUCUGCAGUUUCUGCGUUCCGUGCGGAAAGUUGCGCAAACCUUAACAUUUAGAGGAAGGAGAAGUCGUAACA